UAAUUCCUACGGGGCGCAGCAGUGGGGAAUAUUGCACAAUGGGGGGAACCCUGAUGCAGCGACGCCGCGUGGGCGAGGAAGUAUUUCGGUAUGUAAAGCCCUCUCGGCAGGGAAGAAGAAAUGACGGUACCUGAAUAAGAAGCACCGGCUAAAUACGUGCCAGCAGCCGCGGUAAUACGUAUGGUGCAAGCGUUAUCCGGAUUUACUGGGCGUAAAGGGAGCGCAGGCGGCGCGCCAAGGCUGAUGUGCAACCCCGGGGCUC
RNAcentral lists this ribosomal RNA (262 nucleotides) under uncultured bacterium. RNAcentral describes it as "partial 16S ribosomal RNA". It matches the Rfam family "Bacterial small subunit ribosomal RNA", at positions 333 to 610 of the family's 1533-position model. The record is from RNAcentral.